UACAGAGGGUGCAAGCGUUGUUCGGAAUUAUUGGGCGUAAAGGGAGUGUAGGCGGUUGGGAAAGUCUUCUGUGAAAUCUACGGGCUCAGCCUGUAAAGUGCAGAGGAAACUACUCGGCUUGAGUGUCGGAGAGGAUAGGGGAAUACCCGGUGUAGAGGUGAAAUUCGUAGAGAUCGGGUGGAACACCAGUGGCGAAGGCGCCUAUCUGGCUGACAACUGACGCUGAGACUCGAAAGCGUGGGGAGCGAACAGG
This 253-nucleotide ribosomal RNA is filed under the name uncultured bacterium. RNAcentral describes it as "partial 16S ribosomal RNA". It matches the Rfam family "Bacterial small subunit ribosomal RNA", at positions 524 to 776 of the family's 1533-position model. The record is from RNAcentral.